UAUUAAUCAACCCAGGUCCUAGUUUAUUAAUCAACCCAGGUCCUAACCUAUUUAUCAACCCAGGUCCUAGCCUAUUUAUCAACCUAGGUCCUAGGCUAUUUAUCAACCCAGGUCCUAGCCUAUUUAUCAACACAGGUCCUAGCCUCUUUCUCAACCCAGGUCGUAGCCUAUAUACCAACCCAGGUCCUAGCCUAUUUAUCAACCCAGGUCCUAGUCUAUUUAUCAACCCAGGUCCUAGCCUAUUUAUCAACCCAGGUCCUAGCCUAUUUAUCAACCCAGGUCCUAGCCUAUUUAUCAACCCAGGUCCUAGUCUAUUUAUCAACCCAUGUCCUAGCCUAUUUAUCAUCCCAGGUCCUAGCCUAUUUAUCAACACAGGUCCU
This 380-nucleotide long non-coding RNA is filed under the name Salmo salar (Atlantic salmon). RNAcentral describes it as "lncRNA (ENSSSAG00000120345.1)". Lineage: Eukaryota; Metazoa; Chordata; Actinopteri; Salmoniformes; Salmonidae. The record is from RNAcentral.